This 423-nucleotide ribosomal RNA is filed under the name uncultured bacterium. Its description in RNAcentral is "partial 16S ribosomal RNA". It matches the Rfam family "Bacterial small subunit ribosomal RNA", at positions 360 to 775 of the family's 1533-position model. The record is from RNAcentral.
AAUUUUGGACAAUGGGGGAAACCCUGAUCCAGCAACCCCGAGGGAAGGAGGAAGGCCUCGGGGUUUUAAAGUACUUUUGGCAGAGAAGAAAAGGUACAUCCUAAUAGGAGGUACUGCUGCCGGAACCUGCAGAAUAAGAACCGGCGAACUACGGCCAGGCAGCCGAGGGAACACGUAGGGUGCAAGUGUUAAUCGGAAUUACUGGGCGUAAAGCGUGUGUAGACGGUUCAGAAAGAAAGAUGUGAAAUCCCAGGGCUCCACCUUGGAACUGCAUUUUUAACUGCCGAACUAGAGUAUGUCAGAGGGGGGUAGAAUUCCACGUGUAGCAGUGAAAAGCGUAGAUAUGUGGAGGAAUACCGAUGGCGAAGGCAGCCCCCUGGGAUAAUACUGACGCUCAGACACGAAAGCGUGGGGAGCAAACAG